Molecule: unclassified non-coding RNA, 378 nt
Filed under: plant metagenome
Description: partial contains 5.8S ribosomal RNA, internal transcribed spacer 2, and large subunit ribosomal RNA
Rfam family: 5.8S ribosomal RNA (bases 1-105)
Source: RNAcentral
GAAAUGCGAUAAGUAAUGUGAAUUGCAGAAUUCAGUGAAUCAUCGAAUCUUUGAACGCACCUUGCGCUCCUUGGUAUUCCUUGGAGCAUGCCUGUUUGAGUAUCAUGAAAUCUUCAAAGUAAAUCUUUUGUUAACUCAAUUGGUUUCUACUUUGGUAUUGGAGGUCUUUGCAGCUUCACACCUGCUCCUCUUUGUUCAUUAGCUGGAUCUCAGUGUUAUGCUUGGUUCCACUCGGCGUGAUAAGUUAUCUAUCGCUGAGGACACUGUAAAAGGUGGCCAAGGUAAAUGCAGAUGAACCGCUUCUAAUAGUCCAUUGACUUGGACAAUACUUUUAUGAUCUGAUCUCAGAACAGGUAGGACUACCCGCUGAACUUAAGC